Molecule: ribosomal RNA, 259 nt
Filed under: Klebsiella pneumoniae
Lineage: Bacteria; Pseudomonadati; Pseudomonadota; Gammaproteobacteria; Enterobacterales; Enterobacteriaceae
Description: partial 16S ribosomal RNA
Rfam family: Bacterial small subunit ribosomal RNA
Source: RNAcentral
ACGGUCCAGACUCCUACGGGAGGCAGCAGUGGGGAAUAUUGCACAAUGGGCGCAAGCCUGAUGCAGCCAUGCCGCGUGUGUGAAGAAGGCCUUCGGGUUGUAAAGCACUUUCAGCGGGGAGGAAGGCGGUGAGGUUAAUAACCUCAUCGAUUGACGUUACCCGCAGAAGAAGCACCGGCUAACUCCGUGCCAGCAGCCGCGGUAAUACGGAGGGUGCAAGCGUUAAUCGGAAUUACUGGGCGUAAAGCGCACGCAGGCG